CUCUCAGCCAUGUUCAAAGUCUACGGUGAGAGCAGCGGAGCUACGAUGAAUGGCUAAACGCUAAGCUAACCACUAAUCAAGCCGCUAUGCUAACCAGAUAAAUAAACACUAGAAGUGCACAUGCACAAUCAGUAAGCAGAAGCUCAGAGGGAACGAGCAUAAAAGAUUGAGAAGCAUGUGUCUGCGGACCCGGAGACUGCAAUGUCAGACCCGCAGUUCUAGACCCCUUCUCUUGCACCACAGCUCCAUCUUUUUCUGGAUGAAUCAACAUGAUUGGUGAUAAGAAAAUGUUCAUAACUGUCCAGCCUUUCUAUUUUCAAUAAAAUGGAGGAGUUUAGCUGCAAAAGUAAGGGGCAAAUGAUGAGAGAAGGAGACCUGUUACAAUGGUAGGUAUGUUGUCAGUACAGAAUUAGCCGUUCUCCAGAAUGUUUAGGUGUAGACUGAAUAUUUACGUGUUAAGGAAAAAUAUUUCUGUCACAAUCUCCAGGUGAUUGAUUUAUUAUUAGUUUGACGUCCCUGGGGAUCAUGCAGAUCUGUCUGUUCCACAAGUUGGUAUUUUUAUUAUUCUUUAGAUAUGGUUCCUAUCAUUAGUCAGUAUUAUGUUCAUUAUAAUUUAAGUAGUUUAUUCUUUAUUUUAGAUCCUUAUUUUUCAGCCUCUGUCUUCAGCUCAGUCAUUAGUGGGUUUAUUUAUUAUCGAGUCUGUAUAUUUAUCAGGGUCUUUGCAUUAUUUAGAUUCAUUUUUCUGCUCAGUGUUAACCACUUCCGCCUGUGCCCUUAUCUCCUGAUUCACUCCAGCUGCUCCUCAUGCCUUCUUUCUCCCUCUCCUAUCAGAUCUGUGCCCAUAUUCACAAAGAGUCUCUCAGAGACCACCUAUCUUAGCUUAAAAUUCCUACCUAGGAGUCUUAGCUUCAGAGUGAUUCAGAUGUUGCUGAACAACUCUGAGUAAGGAGACGGCAGACAUUUUUAUCUGCGUCAGGAGUUGUGGUUGAUCCCAUGGCUAGGUGUGAUGCUGUCUUCUAAGAGUUGUGAUUGGUUGAUGGUACAAGAAAAUAGGAGAAAAAUUAACUGAUUAGACUGGAUUAAGAAAUGUGUGUCUUGAUGAAACUUAUUCAUUAAAUGUAUUGUCACACAGCAUCAAAAUGUUUAAAUGUACCUUGUUUACAUCCUCAUCAUUAUUUCUGAUUUGCUUAUUGUUAUGUUUACUAACCAGUCAGUGCUUUAUCUCGUUGAUAUAAAUGUGCACUCACAUGUCAUUAUUUUACUGGGAUUUCAUGCUUGUAUAAAGUGGCAGAACUUGGCAGAACGACCAACAUAAAAUGGAGAAAAAAAGGUUAUUUGUAAAUUUCUCCUCUUUUAUUCAUGGUUAUCCAACAUUUUUACUAGUAUUUAUUUAUCCUCAAUAAAAUUACGUACUAGAGUUGCACCUUUAAUCUGUCGGGCCGCUGAAGCUGAUUAAUUUCCCCCUUUUGGGAUAGUAAAGGUUAUCUUAUGUAGACAUUAAUAAUUGUAUCAUUGUUAAAGAAGUUUAUGCGCUCAUUUCCUCCACUGUUUAGGUGGUGGAUCAGUCAAACAGCUCUCUCUAUUUCCACCAUCUUCCUGCUUCAGACACUAUUAGGCUCGAUAAAAGUCCUCUUCAAUACUUCUAACACUGUAAUUUUAGGAGCUCUCUGAAAAUCUCAAAUAUUCUAAGACAAACCUUAGAAUUCCGGAAAAAAAGAUUUUUACUAAGAUCACUAAGAGCUACUUUUACUCUUAGGAUUCUUUGUGAAUAUAGGCACUGGUUUCAUGUUCAAGUUGUUGCUUAUUUUUGUUCCUUACUCCUCCUAUCUGCUGUUAUAUUUGCAUCAUUUAUUGUUUUGGAUUACAUCCUUAAGUUUAAAUUGUUUUUCCAUUAAAAUCUCACAGGAACUUUACUCUUACUUACGACUGGGUCCUUACUACACAUCAUGGCAGUUUCUGUUUUCAGUUUUGUGAUAGAUAUAUAUUCUCUCUCUUUCUGCAGAUGUACCUCUUCUGGGAUAUUGGCCUUUAAUAAAACAUUUAAAGCUG
This is a long non-coding RNA of Fundulus heteroclitus (mummichog), 2049 nucleotides long. RefSeq lists it as uncharacterized. The record is from RefSeq and is a predicted model, not a curated record. Lineage: Eukaryota; Metazoa; Chordata; Actinopteri; Cyprinodontiformes; Fundulidae. The transcript has 2 exons.